AUUUUGUAGAUUUGAGGUUGAGCCGACUUGAGACCAUUUCGAGCUGAUUCGAGAUCAUUUCGAGCCGACUCCUGUGCUUUUGAUAGAGAUAACGGUUAGUUUUGCAGGAUAUCUAGUUUUGUCCAGAACUUUUUCAAUGGCUCUAUUUUGCCUCCAACGAUCAUAAACGGUCGAAAUAGGUUCAAAAUGCAUCAAAAUUAGAGGGAAUGUAUGGUAGAUAUAAGAGAAGCCAAAGAACCAAUUAAGAAAAGAUAUACUUUUAAAGUGAAAUAGCUCAAAAAGUUCAACAUUCAUUGCAUUCAAGAGACUCAACCACUUCCAACCAAUUUUUUCUUACGUAUUGUGAGGACAUUCAAGGAGAAGUCAGUGAGCAAUUAUUGCAAGCAUUCAAGCUU
RNAcentral lists this long non-coding RNA (395 nucleotides) under Elaeis guineensis (African oil palm). RNAcentral describes it as "long non-coding RNA (EGUI_LNC029689)". Lineage: Eukaryota; Viridiplantae; Streptophyta; Magnoliopsida; Arecales; Arecaceae. The record is from RNAcentral.